RNAcentral lists this long non-coding RNA (397 nucleotides) under Heterocephalus glaber (naked mole-rat). RNAcentral's name for it is "lncRNA (ENSHGLG00000038627.1)". The record is from RNAcentral. Lineage: Eukaryota; Metazoa; Chordata; Mammalia; Rodentia; Bathyergidae.
CAACAUUCUGUUUGUUAGUUAUGUUGGGCUGGUGCUUCUCAAAGAAAUCCCGGCACUCAUUCCCUUUUUCCAUGUUGCAUUUUAUCACGUCCCUGGUAACCUCCUCCCUGUCUUCCUUUUCCUCGGUGGACUGCACUUCAACAAUCACCUUCUACUGUUCACUCUGGAAUUCAACAAGUUCUUCCAUUCGCAGCUCUUCCUUAUGGCCCUCAACGAGCUCCUCUAUGUCUGCACCAUCGAUGUCCAGACCCAUCCUCUUGCCCAUGGACACAGUCUCCUCCACUGCCUGUGCAUCUGGCCCUUCAAAGCCACAUUCAGUGACACAUUCUGGCCGCAGUUUCUCCAGGCUGAUUUAGGGUCUACUGCCUUAUGAGGCAGGAGAGUAAGAAACAUACUG